This 286-nucleotide ribosomal RNA is filed under the name uncultured bacterium. RNAcentral's name for it is "partial 16S ribosomal RNA". It matches the Rfam family "Bacterial small subunit ribosomal RNA", at positions 333 to 616 of the family's 1533-position model. The record is from RNAcentral.
UGCCUCCUACGGGAGGCAGUAGUGAGGAAUAUUGGUCAAUGGGAGGAAUCCUGAACCAGCCAUGCCGCGUGCAGGACGACGGCUCUACGAGUUGUAAACUGCUUUUGUACCGGGGUAAAAUGCCUUACGAGUAGGGUUUUGAAAGUACGGUACGAAUAAGGAUCGGCUAACUCCGUGCCAGCAGCCGCGGUAAUACGGAGGAUCCGAGCGCUAUCCGGAUUCAUUGGGUUUAAAGGGUGCGUAGGUUGUUUUAUAAGUUAGCGGUGAAAUAUCGAUGCUCACCAUC